RNAcentral lists this long non-coding RNA (768 nucleotides) under Rattus norvegicus (Norway rat). Its description in RNAcentral is "long non-coding RNA NONRATT025060". Lineage: Eukaryota; Metazoa; Chordata; Mammalia; Rodentia; Muridae. The record is from RNAcentral.
GGCAAGAUGGGUCACCAGCAGCUCUACUGGAGUCACCCGCGGAAGUUCGGCCAGGGUUCUCGCUCUUGGUAAGAAACCGGUUGUGGAGACCGCGGUUAGAGGGAAGGGCCACUGUUGGUGGCGGGUUGUCCGAAAUUCAAGGCUCGCGGCUGGCGCGCCGCGCAGGGCCCUCGGAGCCGCCGUCGCCAUUACGGACUGGUGCUAGGCCGGGUGGGUCCUGCUUGCCGGUGGUGCGAGUGGAGGAAUGCUGUAACAUGUGGGGCCUGCAUAAACGCCUUCUCUUUCUCCUUCCUCCAGCCGCGUCUGCUCUAACCGCCACGGUCUGAUCCGUAAAUACGGGCUGAACAUGUGCCGACAGUGCUUCCGUCAGUACGCGAAGGACAUAGGCUUCAUUAAGGUACCCGCGGUUGGGCGGGAGCGUUAAGACCCACACCCACACAGCGGAGGGUUUAAGCAAUCAAGAGUUCCAGAAGUGCAGGGUGAAGGAUUUAAUGCCUGGUCAGAUUUAGGUGUCAGGUGGCUGAAAAUGUUUAACGUAGGAGAUAGUAUAUUUUCUACAUAGUAGCUGAGUAUAUUCUAACCGAAUUUCUGACGGGGGAAUGUUUGAUACUGGGAAGAGCCAUGUUUCAGGCCUUAAUAACCACGAACCACCAAGGUUGUGGGUGAUCACAUUAGUCCUACUUGAAACGUUAAUUCCUCAAAAGUCACUUUUUUGACCAAAGACAUUUUCUAAUAAAAUUAAAUUAUAAAAUUCACCUGCUUUUUAAU